UGUAUAAACAUAUAUUCACGGUAUUGACUGGCGUAUUGGGAAAUGAACAAGUUGACAUGCUGUCUGUAGAAUGUAAUAUGACUCAAAUUUUCUGGGGUGGGGUAAUGAUAUAGCCAAAUAUAAUACCUCUAAUUAUCUAUUCUUUUCAUGUAGCCAUUUCAUAUUUAGGUGUUAUCUUAAGAAAAUGAUUCAUUUUCAGGGAAAACCUAAUUAAUGCUGUGCUUUGAGUAAAUUAAAAAAAAAUGGAAACCUACCUCAAUUUUCAAUUAUAAUGGAUUGGUAAAUGAAUUAUGAUAGUUUCAUAUGAGUAAUUACUCUGUACUUAUUAAAUAUGUCCUUGAAAAGUAUUUAAUGAUAUAGAGAAAUGCUGAUGAUACAUUGGUAGGUGAAAAUAAGCUAAUCAUCAAAGAAAACAUGCAAAAUGAUCUCAGGACUAUAGGAUCCCACCUAUUUUUCUUUGAAUUUUUCCUAAAUUUUCUAGGAUAUACAUAUAAUAAUUGCAUAGAAGAAAGAAAUCACUAAAAGUCCAUGAACCAUCCAAAAACAUUUUUCUAAUUUUUAAACUAUAAGUAGAAAAAUGAAUGAACAGGAGUUCAGAAUAUGCUCCAAAAAGAAAGAGAGGAGAUAUAUAGUAUAAUUAAUAGCAUGCAUUUAGGAAAAAAUACAAAUUAAAUCUUAGCUCUGAUAAUGUCUGAAAUUGGGUGAAUUAUCACAUCUCUUUUAACUGUAUUUUCCUGACCUUUAAAAUCGAUAGAGCAGCAUUGUGUCUCAGAUUUUUGUGACUAUUAUAUAAAAUAAUUCAUAUAAUUUAGCAAUGUUUGUUACAUAAGUAGUUCUCAAGAAAGUUUAGUUAUUAACUUUAUUAUUGUUCCCAAAUGAAACUUUUAGUCUACUAAUUCCAACUUCGGUAAAUACAAAGAAUCUUUAUACAGUAUGAGUCACUCAGUAAAUCAGGAUAUCCUAUGUAAGUAACUAGCUGAAUUUGCUUUUUGCUAAUUCUCAUACUUUCUACCCUUAUCCCCUCUUUUUGAACUCCAGAUUCCUCCUUCCCUGCCUGAUUUCUUUCUCUCCUUUUUCUAUGCACAUGGGAAAUACUGCCUUUUAACACACUGGAUACUUUAGUUAUUUCAUAUGUGUAACAUUUAUUAUCUGUUGUAAGAUUCUCUAGAGAAGGGUCCUUAGUUUGUGUUGUUUAUUACUAUACAUUGGCUUUUAGAACAGUGCCUGGCACAUAGCAGACACCCAAUAAAUAGUUGCAGAAUUUUUAAGUGAUGGAUUUGAUCUUGAUUUACCUCUAAAAAAUUCAUAUAUCUUAGGAUUCUAUACAGCAAUGACCUUCCAAAUUCAUACUCUGCAUAGGACUGCUUCACGUAUUGGAUGUGUACUUAAGGAUCGGGUUUAUAUAAAGGUCACAUAUUUUGUGUCAUGUUUUUUUCAGACCUUAGUAACAGGAAUAAUUCCAAAGUCCUUAAGAAUAAGUUCAUGUAACUUUAAAUAGAGGAAUAAUCAUUGGCUGUCAGCUUUUUCUUUCCCUGAGUUGAGGUUGAGAUUAUCUGGACAGAGAUAAUAUUUGGUGCAUUCACUGGAGAGAUACAACAGCAUAUGGGUGGUCUGAGAUAUAUUCUAAGUGAUUAAAUGCAGGAUGUGUGGGGGAGUGGAAGACUAAAUAAUUUAAAUAUGCCCAAAAAGAGGAAAUAUAAAUUAUCAUAUUUUAUCUUUUACAUUUAUUAUAUAUAUAACACCACUGGAUCCCACCCUCACCCUUCAUCCUCUUCAGUCAAGAAAAUAUUAUUUUCUUCAGUUUGGGAUUAAAUAUAUUAGAAUCCCAGCUGGUACUAAGAGAAUCUUUCAUUUCAUUUAUUAAAAAUAUUUUUAUAAUUAUUAGCAUCCUCAUUAUCAUUUCUUGUAUUUUUUCCUUCAUUUGUAAAUGUGGUUCAUUUUGUUGAAAGAAUAUUUCAAAAUUAAAGAGCAUUAAAAAGAGUGAAGAGCCCUAAAAAACUGAGGUUUUAUGUUGAAAGCAUUUCUCUGAACACCUGUGAACUGUUGAAUUUAAUUGGGCUACAGCUGGAACAGGCUGUGGAGCGGAGAGAGUAGGCUGGCAUUUCUAAGCAGUCAUACAUUAAAUUCACCCUGACUUUCCUCCGACAGGCUAGAAAGCAGAAUGGUCAUGAAUGACUCAGGCUAGAUUAGCACACACAUACUCUCUUCUCUAUUUUAUCUAUAUCUGUUUUCAAAAUAGGAUCAGGGAAAAGUUUAAAUGACUUGCAGUAUUUAAUAGGUUAACUCUCCCCGUAAUAUUGGCAUUUAGUAUAGACACUGCCUUAAACUGGAUUAAUAAGGAAGAAAUUAUGGAAUUUAAGUAAGCAGUGUAGCAGAGUCAGGAAAGCUUGAUAGGUAGUUAAAAAACACACUCAGUGCACAGCCUGGUGCAUGUUCAGUGCUCAGUAAUUAAUGAAGUAGUGUUCUGCAUGAGGAUGUUUUUAGGAGAGGUGGGUUUUUCUGGUAAUACCAGUAAUACUGAAAAAUUAAUUCCAUGUCAUAAUUGGCUGAGGAAUGUGCAUAAAUAUCAGGAAUGGGAACAAAAUUUACAGAAAAUGAAAAUUCCAGAAAAUAUCCAAAAAUAAGCUUUGUGGUCAUGAAAAAAAAAUUUUUUUUUGAAAAAAGAAGUGAAAGAAAAGGAGUCAUUACUUAAGAAUCCCAUUCAAAGAGUUGCUAGCCUGUAAAAAGGGUCAUUUCUUCAGGAAUCAAUUCUUACAAGCUAGUCUCUGUAUCUUAUACAACUCAUCUGGAAACUGGGAAUACUUUUCUGUAUCACUGUCUGCUAACAGAGUUUCAAGCAUCAAAUUAGAUUUCAAAAAUAAAAACAUAUUAUAAAAAGUAAAGCUAAAUAUGUAGUUUCUAGAAUUAUUGGUUGAGAUAAUGUUGAAUUUAAACAAAGGAUCCAUAGCAACCCAGUUCUGUCUCACAGAGACCAAAAUAACACCAACAUUUUGCUCAGAAAAACGUUUGGAUUUUGUAGAAAGAAAUGAUAAAAUUUUAAGUCAUUUUAUAUUUUAAAAUUAUAGUAUAAAUUCCAGGUAUAUAUAGCAUUGUUGUUCAACGUCUGUAUACAUUAUAUAGUUAUCACCAUCACAAGCAAAGUUAUCCAUCACCAUAUAGUUGAGCUUCUGUACUCAUUUUAACCACUCACCAACUCUGUUCCUUUCUGGUAACCAUUAAUCUUUUCUCUGUAGCUAUGAGUUUCUUUUUCCUUUAUUCUGUUUAUUCUUUAUUUUUCUUUUUGAGAGGAGAGAAUAUUUAUUUUUAUAUAUUUUUUAGAUUUUUUUGGCCUCUAUUAUUUUUGUUAUUAUUGAAGUAGAGUUGAUAUACAAAGUAUAUGCAUUGACCUCAUCCUCAGAGUUUACAAGCUUUCAGUUUGAUUUGGCAGAAGCAUGAAGCUGUGAGCCUCAUAAGAUAGGAGUUGUUUUAUUGAAAAUAUGCAAACGGUUCAGGAAUCAACAUUGCCCAAAUUUUCAUUAACUCAUUGCUGAAUGAAAAGGACAAGAACUUUCAUUAGGUAAUCAUGCUAAAAGACUGACACUUUGGUACAGAGAGUGGUUAAAAACCAACAUAACUAGGUACAUACAAUCAUGAGAAGAAGAAUAAAAUUAGGAGGAGGAUGAAAGAGAUGUUCAAUUAAUAUAAUAUCACAAAUAAAAGAAAGGAUUAUUUUAAACAUGCUAAAUAUUUAAGUACCUUAAGUUAUUAGUGGAGUUUAAUACUUUGUGGUAAAUGAGAUAUGUAACACAUGUUACGCAAUAAUAAUCAAGUUAAAAUUCCCUGAAAUAAAGAGGGCAAGAAAUUUGAAUUUGGGGGACUCUCAGGUAAAAAUGAAAAAUUGCCAGUAAAACACAUUGUGGUUAAGAUAUUGAUCUAAAGAGAUGAUAAAGAAUAUAUUAAAGAGCUGCAUAAAAAGAAAGCAUGAGUGAUGUGAUUUCAACUGACUUCAGACACUCCAUGGCAGCAUUCAAACUGUAUGAUAGAGAUAUGAAAUAAUUUCACUCAAGGAAAAAGUUGCUCACCUAAGCAGUUUUGGAAAUGAGUUUAGCUUAUGAGGCUGAAGGCAAAAGGUGUUAUACAUAAGCACUUUAGUUGAUAAAGGUAUUUCCCACUAGGGCAUAGUUUAAUAAAAUGUAAAACCGCUAUACAUUUAUAUGGAUUUUUUUGCAUUAAGCAAAUGGGUGAUGGAUGGUGAGAUCCAGGUUUCUUACUGUUAGAGUAAGAGGUUACAAAUAAACAAGGUAGGAAGCCUAGAAUGACCCAUGUGGUAUUGAAUUAGAGUUGGAAAUGCCAGUGUAAAGUCAGGUUUAACUUUAUACAGGUACAGAUGUGUACUUUUAGAAAUUGUAGAUAUGUGUACACAGUUUGCUCUACUUUGUGUGCAAAUAUAUCCAUUUACUGUGUCACUUAAAAAGGCUAAUAUUCAAUGACCUCUCAGGAGCACUAAGUGCACACAGUAUCUAGAUCUUGGUUUUUAAUACUACUUUCUAGCGAAAGGAACUGUGAUUCCUUGGAGAAAUGGUUGAUUCUAGGAUUGAGUCAAAGAACAUACAAAUGAACCUAUAAUAUCUUGUAGUACCAGAGAGUGAGGGAGUGCUGAAAAACAAAACAAAACACAUAUUGAUGGGACCAUGCCAAAGAAAUCAACUAAGAGAGCUCCAAAGCUAAAAAUAUUUGAGCAAAAAAAUAAAUACAGUAAUGAAAUUCAAAGGGUAAAACCAUAAUCCAUGAGUCCAUACUGACAUAAAUAAAUGAUUGAAUGAAGAAGGAAAUUGCAAACAAUUAACAAAUGUUCCAUGUGGUAUUCCAAAUAAUUUAUGUAGAUGCUACCCUUUUAAGAAAGUACAAUAACUCUUGGAGUUCCGUUGUGAUUCAGUGGUUAACAAACCCGACUAGCUUCCAUGAGGAUGUGGGUUUGAUCCCUGGUCUCCCUCAGUGGGUUAAUAUUUCAGCGUUGCCGUGAGCUGUGGUAUAGGUCACAGAUGCGGCUCAGAUCUGGUGUUGCUGUGGCUGUGGCUGUGGCUGGAGGCCACAGCUCUGAUUGGACACCUAGCCUGGGAACUUCCAUAUGCCAUGGGUGGGGCC
RNAcentral lists this long non-coding RNA (5124 nucleotides) under Sus scrofa (pig). RNAcentral's name for it is "lncRNA (ENSSSCG00000055309.1)". Lineage: Eukaryota; Metazoa; Chordata; Mammalia; Artiodactyla; Suidae. The record is from RNAcentral.